RNAcentral lists this transfer RNA (49 nucleotides) under Leptotrombidium pallidum. Its description in RNAcentral is "tRNA-Tyr". The record is from RNAcentral. Lineage: Eukaryota; Metazoa; Arthropoda; Arachnida; Trombidiformes; Trombiculidae.
GUUAGAGAAAAAUGAUUGUAAAUCAUUUAAUGAUUUAUCUCCUCUUCCA